UAUAUCUUGUGAUCAUUGUUUUGUACUAAUCUCAUUUUCAUGAUAGCGCGUUGUUGUUUGCUGCUAAGGUACGCAUUUUCUCUCACUUUGUCCAUCUCUUAUACAUGCUUCGAUUCUCGGUGUGUAAUCAUGUUGAUAUUCAUUGAUUUUCCUAUUGAUUGCCACGUCAGCUUCAUUCUAUUAGUAGAGACCCGACUUUAGGGACUUAGAGGGGUGCUACGGUCUUUACCGUACCUUCCUGAUAAGUAAUCUGACCCCCGAACCCGAUCCGGUUUUUCGUAGAUCACCUUUUCC
This 294-nucleotide long non-coding RNA is filed under the name Vitis vinifera (wine grape). Its description in RNAcentral is "long non-coding RNA (VVIN_LNC008089)". The record is from RNAcentral. Lineage: Eukaryota; Viridiplantae; Streptophyta; Magnoliopsida; Vitales; Vitaceae.